RNAcentral lists this ribosomal RNA (999 nucleotides) under Stenotrophomonas maltophilia. RNAcentral describes it as "bacterial SSU rRNA". It matches the Rfam family "Bacterial small subunit ribosomal RNA", at positions 62 to 1048 of the family's 1533-position model. Lineage: Bacteria; Pseudomonadati; Pseudomonadota; Gammaproteobacteria; Lysobacterales; Lysobacteraceae. The record is from RNAcentral.
UCGCACGGCAGCACAGGUAGAGCUUGCUCUCUGGGUGGCGAGUGGCGGACGGGUGAGGAAUACAUCGGAAUCUACUUUUUCGUGGGGGAUAACGUAGGGAAACUUACGCUAAUACCGCAUACGACCUACGGGUGAAAGCAGGGGACCUUCGGGCCUUGCGCGAUUGAAUGAGCCGAUGUCGGAUUAGCUAGUUGGCGGGGUAAAGGCCCACCAAGGCGACGAUCCGUAGCUGGUCUGAGAGGAUGAUCAGCCACACUGGAACUGAGACACGGUCCAGACUCCUACGGGAGGCAGCAGUGGGGAAUAUUGGACAAUGGGCGCAAGCCUGAUCCAGCCAUACCGCGUGGGUGAAGAAGGCCUUCGGGUUGUAAAGCCCUUUUGUUGGGAAAGAAAUCCAGCCGGCUAAUACCUGGUUGGGAUGACGGUACCCAAAGAAUAAGCACCGGCUAACUUCGUGCCAGCAGCCGCGGUAAUACGAAGGGUGCAAGCGUUACUCGGAAUUACUGGGCGUAAAGCGUGCGUAGGUGGUCGUUUAAGUCUGUUGUGAAAGCCCUGGGCUCAACCUGGGAACUGCAGUGGAAACUGGACGACUAGAGUGUGGUAGAGGGUAGCGGAAUUCCUGGUGUAGCAGUGAAAUGCGUAGAGAUCAGGAGGAACAUCCAUGGCGAAGGCAGCUACCUGGACCAACACUGACACUGAGGCACGAAAGCGUGGGGAGCAAACAGGAUUAUAUACCCUGGUAGUCCACGCCCUAAACGAUGCGAACUGGAUGUUGGGUGCAAUUUGGCACGCAGUAUCGAAGCUAACGCGUUAAGUUCGCCGCCUGGGGAGUACGGUCGCAAGACUGAAACUCAAAGGAAUUGACGGGGGCCCGCACAAACGGUGGAGUAUGUGGUUUAAUUCGAUGCAACGCGAAGAACCUUACCUGGCCUUGACAUGUCGAGAACUUUCCAGAGAUGGAUAGGUGCCUUCGGGAACUCGAACACAGGUGCUGCAUGG